Molecule: ribosomal RNA, 468 nt
Filed under: uncultured bacterium
Lineage: Bacteria
Description: partial 16S ribosomal RNA
Rfam family: Bacterial small subunit ribosomal RNA
Source: RNAcentral
GACGAACGCUGGCGGCGUGCUUAACACAUGCAAGUCGAACGGAAAGGCCCUGCUUUUGUGGGGUGCUCGAGUGGCGAACGGGGGAGGAAAACGUGAGUAACCUGCCCUUGACUUUGGGAUAACUUCAGGAAAAUGGGGCUAAUACCGGAUAGGAGCUCCUGCUGCAUGGUGGGGGGUGGAAAGUUUCGGCGGUUGGGGAUGGACUCGCGGCUUAUCAGCUUGUUGGUGGGGUAGUGGCUUACCAAGGCUUUGACGGGUAGCCGGCCUGAGAGGGUGACCGGCCACAUUGGGACUGAGAUACGGCCCAGACUCCUACGGGAGGCAGCAGUGGGGAAUAUUGCACAAUGGGCGGAAGCCUGAUGCAGCAACGCCGCGUGCGGGAUGACGGCCUUCGGGUUGUAAACCGCUUUCGCCUGUGACGAAGCGUGAGUGACGGUAAUGGGUAAAGAAGCACCGGCUAACUACGUG